Molecule: ribosomal RNA, 464 nt
Filed under: uncultured bacterium
Lineage: Bacteria
Description: partial 16S ribosomal RNA
Rfam family: Bacterial small subunit ribosomal RNA
Source: RNAcentral
GACGAACGCUGGCGGCGUGCUUAACACAUGCAAGUCGAACGGAAAGGCCCUGCUUGCAGGGUACUCGAGUGGCGAACGGGUGAGUAACACGUGGGUGAUCUGCCCUGCACUUCGGGAUAAGCCUGGGAAACUGGGUCUAAUACCGGAUAGGAGCCAUUUUUAGUGUGAUGGUUGGAAAGUUUUUUCGGUGUAGGAUGAGCUCGCGGCCUAUCAGCUUGUUGGUGGGGUAAUGGUCUACCAAGGCGGCGACGGGUAGCCGGCCUGAGAGGGUGGACGGCCACAUUGGGACUGAGAUACGGCCCAGACUCCUACGGGAGGCAGCAGUGGGGAAUAUUGCACAAUGGGCGCAAGCCUGAUGCAGCGACGCCGCGUGGGGGAUGACGGCCUUCGGGUUGUAAACUCCUUUCGCUAGGGACGAAGCUUUUUGUGACGGUACCUAGAUAAGAAGCACCGGCUAACUACGU